This 1021-nucleotide small RNA is filed under the name Vigna angularis var. angularis. RNAcentral's name for it is "Non-protein coding transcript". Lineage: Eukaryota; Viridiplantae; Streptophyta; Magnoliopsida; Fabales; Fabaceae. The record is from RNAcentral.
CUUUUUGUCAUUAUAAUUACCAGUAUUACAUAUAGAGAAGUAUGAAAACGUAAUCUGCAAACCCAAUUUAGAGAGGAUAGAGCUUAAAAUGGAUCUGAUUCUCUAGCAGAACGUGUGUUUUGGCCUAAUUCAACCAGGUAGAGAGAGAAUAGCUAAUGAGGGAAUGAAAUGGGAAACAAACAUCAAGAACAACCUGGUUGCCCCAUAGAAAUAAUGAAGAAUCAAAAGCAGCAGCUACACUAUAGAGAUUUGAACACAAAAUCAAGUACACCCACACAGAAAGUUCAAGAGGUAGGUGUGUGAGACUUCUACUCAACUGAAGAGAAAAAAGAACAAGAGAAGCAUAAAUGAAUUACCAUAUUAUUUCCAAUUGAAUGACCAAGCUGGAAUCAACAUAUCAAUCACACAGCUUGAUCAACAGAAACACGAGACCAAGAAAUUUCAUGACAGAUAUUUGUUGCUUCCAUUCUAAAAGAAUAUGGUUUGAACCAAAUAAAAGGGAGUUACAUGGUUGAAUCGUCGUGGGAGAAGCAUAUGGACUCCUUGCUCUCAACUAAGACAACAGGCAUAACUUCCCCAAGUUUAUGGUCCAGUUUUCCAGAUUCUAUAACGAGUAAAUCCUGGAGAAGGAUGACGUAAUGUUCUUGAACAUCUCCUGCACUUUUUUCUCCUCCAACCAUGGCUGCAACCACUUCCCACCGUUCAGGGUGUUGCUCAUCUACCACUGCCAAAGCUAGCUCGAACAACUUGUUCUCCUCCCAACUCCAACCGCAAAAGCUGUUAGCAAAAUCUUCCAUCGCACUCACUCUGGAUGAUCCCUUCAGGGCACUUUGAAGAAAUUGAGGAUUCUCUAGUAAUUCUUUCACAUUAGGUGAUUUCAUGGUAUGUGUUCUUAGACAAAAUCUGACACCCCUUAUGAUGUCUGGGGAGUUAGAUGUUUGUAAUGACGUGCAAAAUACUUUUUUUUUUUCAGUAUUUAAAGGGGUAUCUCUUUUUUUUUUACAUAUUUUUUUUACGAGAA